CUACGGGCUGCUGCAGUGAGGAAUAUUGGUCAAUGGGCGCAAGCCUGAACCAGCCAUCCCGCGUGGAGGAAGACGGCCCUAUGGGUUGUAAACUUCUUUUCAAGGGGAAGAAUUGUCCCGACGUGUCGGGGCUUGCCGGUACCUUUGGAAUAAGCAUCGGCUAACUCCGUGCCAGCAGCCGCGGUAAUACGGAGGAUGCGAGCGUUAUCCGGAUUUAUUGGGUUUAAAGGGUGCGUAGGCGGAUCGGUAAGUCGGCGGUGAAAUGCCAUGGCUCAACUAUGGAAUUGCCGUUGAUACUGUCGGUCUUGAAUAUGGUCAAGGUAGGCGGAAUGUGUAAUGUAGCGGUGAAAUGCUUAGAUAUUACACAGAACACCGAUUGCGAAGGCAGCUUGCUGGGCCAGAAUUGACGCUGAGGCACGAAAGCGUGGGGAUCGAACAGGAUUAGAUACCCCGGUAGUC
This 459-nucleotide ribosomal RNA is filed under the name uncultured bacterium. RNAcentral describes it as "partial 16S ribosomal RNA". It matches the Rfam family "Bacterial small subunit ribosomal RNA", at positions 339 to 795 of the family's 1533-position model. The record is from RNAcentral.